This 11730-nucleotide long non-coding RNA is filed under the name Solanum lycopersicum (tomato). RNAcentral's name for it is "long non-coding RNA (SLYC_LNC001112)". The record is from RNAcentral. Lineage: Eukaryota; Viridiplantae; Streptophyta; Magnoliopsida; Solanales; Solanaceae.
GUAUUUUAACUUCAUUUUGACCACAAAGUAUAAUUCUUACCAACGGAAUGAGUUGUGGCACUUUAGAAGACUAGAUUCUGACUACAAAACGACGAGAGUUGAGCAAAAAGUUUCUAUUGCAAUGAAUUGUUUACAUCGAUGUAUGGCACAGAAUGAAACCAUGCAAAUAAAAAGUUUCAUUACUUCAAUUUCUUUUGAAGUAGAAAAAUGUUUCCUUAGUCUAACUAGUGUUUCUUCUAACUCUGAACUGUACAGUGUCUAUCCUGGUUUACUACAACUAUACAAAAUUAUGUAACUAAAAAAAUGGGGACUGGUUUCCUUCUCACUUCCGCAAUCGAGAUGUGAGAUCGAUGAACAAAUCCUCGCUGCAGGGAAUAGUCACACCACCCAUUGGAUGGUCGAAGCCAAAUUCUUCCUCAGAUUGACUAAGCAAGUCUUGAAAUAAAGGUUGGCUCAAGAAUGAUAUCGGGAUCACAAAUCUCUUCUUCUGCAUCUCCCCAACAUACACAGCAAAAUGACCCUUGGGAAUAUCUCUAGUUGCAGAAGACUUCUUGAUCAUACGAAGAAUAGCCAUGAUCUCUUAGUUUUAGUAUAGGUGAGAAAAAAGGAAGGAUUGUAAGGUUACCAAAAAGCAGAGAAAGCUUUGAUGUUUGCUGAGUGUUGUGGUGGUAGAUACCUCAUUAGAUAUGUUUAUAUAGGAAAUGGCAACUCAUAUUGAUGUGUGUUGAAUAGGAAUGUGUGGGUACCAGCAGAAGACAAUGGCACUGUAGUAUCACAUGCUCUUGCCUUCCAAGUAUUGAAAACUAUGUGGUAUUAGUUAAACAACAAUAGGCCCCACCUUAUUUUGAAACAUGGAAAGAGCCAUUUGGAUUGGACAUCAGUACAAGACAAUGAUAUAUUAGCAAUCACAUGGUCCUGCCCUCCAGCUAGUUUGACAUGAUUAAUUACUUUGGCAUAUAUAAGUUCAAGUUCAAUCGGUCCUACAUAUAUUUUCCUAUAGGGAACAAAGGAUCUCUAAGAAUCAAAUCCACAUAUAUUGCUGGUAGCUUAUGAGGAUAUCUAGGAAUUAACCAUACCCCAGAUGCAAACUGUGUCUACUUAUAUAAAAAGGAUAAGAGAUAAAAAGUUGGCUUAUUAAAAUUCCGAGACAGUUGGUCAAAAUCAGAUGAUCAAAUAGAAACAGGGGGAAUAUUAUAUAUGCAAGAACAAUCCAUUGAUUAAUAGUUGGCUCCCUAAGUACAUUUGGUAACUAAUGUGAAUAUUACCAUAACCAACAAACACAAAGUAACAAAUACACCUAAAAAAGGCUUCUAAUCACAUAACCACCUUCUAGAAAGGGUGCAAUGAGAAAAUAGGCCUUCAAAAUAAAGCUAAUUACAAAUAAGCCUCUGAAUCAAACUGCUACAACUACGACCUUUUCUCCCUAUUUAUAAUAGAUCUAAUCUUUCCACGAUAUCCUUCUUAAUCUGUAACACAACUGUUCCAGUUUGAACAUUCAUGUGCUUGAAUGUAGUCCAGUUCCUAGCCUUCCAAGUAAAUAAUCUUGUUUGUUAUCUUUUACAAGUACAUUGGUUUCUUCAUAAACAAACAUAAAUAAGUUGGGAUCUUCCUCCAUAAAUAGCAUCCCAUCUCUAUAUCCCUAACACAACUAUUAGUACUUUUUUAGUAGCAUUAAGCUCUCAAAUUUCUUCAAGAAAACAUACAAAAAUGGCCAUCAGAAAAUCAAACAACUUAAUCACAAGCUGCAGUUUUAAAGCAAAAUUAUGAAUAGGUAUUCAAAUUUGGGUAUGCUGAGAUUUAUUUGCUAAUGAGUCCAACCAACGACCCGACCCCUAAGAGAAACAAUCAUUUAAAGUAAAUAAAUUAUAAGAUCAGAACAUAAGCAAGAUAAGUGAAAGAGACUAUGGGUCCUAGGGAACUUAAAAAGACACAUGGUGAUCUCUAAUGCUUUUAUGAUUGAAUGCAGUCUGGGAUAAUCUUGAAAAAAUAGGUGAAAGAAAUGACACUAAUUAACUUCAACAUGCACUAGAAAAAUUUAGCUCUUAUUCAGGUCAGGAACAAAUGGCAGGAAUUACCUUCUUUCGACUCCCCAUCGUGUGAAGUUGUGCACUCCCCUCAAGCUUGUACUUCAUUAUGACAAAUGCUAACUAGUUUCAUUAGAAACACCAGGUCGUGUGAGUUACUAAAAUAUCUGAUUGAGAUAAUAUCAGAAAGAGAACUAACCCUUCCAUGAACGUUGAUAACAUGACCUUUCAUCAGAGAAUACACCGUCACCACAACUUGGGGUGGAGGAUUUACCAAAUUGAUGGUAUGACUGCUGUGGAAACUCCAAGCAGAUAGCUUCUGCAAAAUGAUGCAGUCUCCUUACAGCUCUAGUUUCUGCACGAUGGAAACGAACAUUAAUUAGUUGCCCACAUUUCCUGUCAUCAUUGAUCAUCAAUACAAACAAGCACUCAAGGACAAAUUACCUGGCAUGAGUGGCACAUAACGAAAAGUCUUGAUACUUUUAUUUGCUGCUGCUGUUCUUGAAGACUAGCUUGUGGCAAAGAAUUUCUUGCCCGAGGAGCUGAAAUGACUCCUCCUACUCUUCUCCAUCAUUAUAAUCUCAUCUGUUUUACCUUGAUUUCCAGCAUGAAUCCAUUUAUGCGAGUUCCCAUCCCAUCCUAGAGGAGAGCAUAGCUUGUGGUAUCAAAAUAAUAAUUAAGAUUUUCUUCACUAUGAGAAUGUAUAUGUGACAAAUCAUCACCAUUAUAAUAGAAUUCAGAAGGAUCUGAACUAUUAACGUCACCCGAUCAAGUCCCCUACACUGUACAUAUCAUCUGUAGAACUAGCACUAAAAUUGAGAUGCUGAGAUUUAUAUUUGCUAAUGAGUCCAACCAAACAAUCCCUAAGAGGAACAAUUGCUUAAAGUAAGUGCAUUUUAAAGAAAUUUAUGAAAAACCAAGACUGAUCAUAUGGACUAUGCAAAGGCCAUAUAGACAUUAUCAAUCAUAAGUGUUGUGUUCCCACAAUCAGAAUAAACUUCUUAUCAACCUGUUGGGGGAACUUUGACACCCUCCAGACAGUUUUUAUCAAUUGUAUCAGUAACCAAUGAAUCGCCAACAAAAUGCAAGACACCAGAAGUGACAUUGAGUAUAGUAUCCAGAUUCUUAGGAUUCUCUGUUCCAGAACCACUCUGCAUCUCAUACUCGAGGAGCGGCCCGUUGGUUCACCAAAGCCCGACCCAGUGUCGCACAUUCUCCAAAAGGUAAAGGUUCUAUCAUCUUGUCCAUAUAGUCAAGGUACUCAACUGUAGUCUUUGGACGGAAGUCCCUCCAUUUUGUCCCAGAAUCUAAGGAACUUUGAAUAAACAUAAGCAAGAUAUAAUUUGAAAGAGACUCUGUGGCCUAAGAGACUUAGAAAGAGACAUAAUCUGAAAUGCUUUCAUGAUUAAUAAGAAUGCAAUCUAAGAUAAUUUUGAGAAGUGGAUGAAAGAAAUGAAGCUCAUUAACUAAAACAUGCACAAGAAAAUUCAGCUCUUAUCAACAAUUUACCUUCUUUUAACUCCCCAUCGCGUGUACUUGUGCAAUCCACUUGAAUUUGUAAUAUUCUAUUCCAGAUGUUAACAAAUUUCAAUUUAACACUUGGCCUGAAGAGAAAAUAUCAGGUCGUGUGAGUUACUAAAAUAUUUGAUUGAGAUAAUAUCAGAAAGAGAUCCCACCCUCUCAAGAAAUUUGAUAGCAUUACCUUUCAUUAGAGAACACAUCCUUACCACAUUUCGGGUGGAAGAUUGAGCACAUUGAUGGAAUGAGUGAGUGGAAGCUCCCAGCAGAUAGCUUCUGUAGAAUGAUGUAGUCCCCUUGCAGCUCUAGAUUCUGCACGAUGGAAAAGAACAUUAAUUAGUUGCUCAUAUUUUCUGUCAUAGUUGAUUAUUAACACAAAAAACACACUCGAGGAGAAAUUAUCAGGCAUAUAAGCAGAUCAUGAACAAUUUAAAUGUUGUUAUUUCCUGCUGCCUUUCUUGAAGACUCACUUGUGGCAAAGAACUUCUUCUUGUCUUGGUAAAAUGGAGGAGCUGAAUGGCUUCUUCUACUCUUUCUUCUUCCUUAUAAGCUCAUCUAUUUUACCUCGAUUUCCAGCAUCAAUCCAUUUGUGCGAGUCCCCAUAUACCCUAGAAGAGAGCAUAGCUCGUGGUGGCAAAUAAUUUUAAGAUUCUCUUCAUCAUGAGAAAGCAUAUGUGUCAAAUCAUAUCUAUCAUAAUAGAAUUCAGAAGGACCUGAACUAUAAACAUCCCAUGGAUCCAGUCCCCUAUACCGGCCAUGCCAGUUUGCCCAAUUACAAGUAAAACUGCAAAACAAAAAAAUUGAAGAACACCCGAAAAAAGAUACUAACAAACACAAACCGUCAAACAACCUAUCAGUUGAGGAACGCAUGCAGCCCUAUAGACUACGACAACCAUUCCAAGUUACGAACAUAAUCGUUGUCAGUCCAAUAUUUUGCAAAAUGAUUACCAUAUCAUUCUCUUCUCAGCAUCUGUCCAUCUCGUGAGACACCAGAUCCUUCAAAAGAAAGUACCAACUUCAGGUGAUGAAGCAAAAUAAUAAAUUGAGCAGAAUUUUAUACAUAUCUAAAUGCAUUUAGAUCAACGUCAAAGAAACUAAUAGAUACCAUUGUCAUCCACCUUAACAAUUCAGGUCCCAAUGUCAACAGCAACAGAUACCUGGUUGAAAAUGGAAACUGUGUUAAAGUUCAACUUAGGAGUACACAAAUUAUAAGAACAACGAACAUAAAAAGAGCAGUCCUACAAGGGGAGUAAAUCUCAUGGAGAAAACAAAGUGCUGUUAUAAGAAUAUUCAUUUGUUAAAAAAAAAUGCUUUGAUACUAGAAUCGAGCAUCAUACUAAGAGGAGAAGAAGUAUAUCAAUUUUCAUAUAAAGCAUAUCCCCUUGUAAUCAGAGGUAGCAAAAAUAGAAACACACGAAUCCAUUGAAGAGCCUCACUGAUCAGUGCCUUUUGUGCAAAUAGUCCAAGCUAUUAAAACUGCAUUAAAGCAUGACUUGCCAUAUUCUCAGCAGCCCACAUCUAUUGAUCCUCUAAACAUUAACAAAAUCAGAAAACAUAAAAAACGCCCACUCUCUUACAUGACACAAUUUACAACUUAUAAGAAACAAUUAAAAUCAGAAAGUCUAGAGCAUGUUCAUUUCAAAGAUGAAAAUAAGUCUAGACCAUGUAAAAGAAAAUGACCACUGAGGGUGUUCUGUCCAAUCGAGUGUCUUCAUUCAAAAUACUACAAAUCAUUUCUUAUAAUUAAACUACUUAUUUUUUAAGAAUUGUAACAGUGGGGCCUUCAACAAGAAAAACUCCACAUUUUCCCAUUCAAAGGCUUCAUAAUUCAGUUAUAAUUAAACCAAAAACAACAACAAGAGUAUCUAUCAUUAUUCAUGACUUCAUAAUUCAAUUAUAUAAAAAGGUUCACCUCUAUGUGACUAUCACUUUUAUCUUUGACAAUGAAAGGAAGGCCCGCAUCUUCAAAUUGCUGCACCAUAUCAGGAUCCACCUACGUAGCACAGGAUAAGUUUUUGCAUACGUCCCUUACUAAAGAAAUCACAUCCUAUGGUCUACAUAUAAUUAUUAAACCAGUCCACCUAGAUGUGCAAUAGUUACACCACAGUUCCAAAUUUAAAGGAAAAAAAGUGUUGAACCUCAUAUAUAUGAUGGUGCCUCUCAUCUGCAAAGCUCCAAUUGCCAAAUUUGAGAAAAGAUAUAAUUAAGCCAGUUGGUAAUAUCAAUGGGAAAAAUCCUCCAGAAUGGCUUCACAAACUUAUCAACAAGCAUGCCCAAUGUAUGCAAAAGCAGUCUAUUAAGAAUUUCAAGAAACCAGAGAGAAAAGGCAAAGAACCAUAUCAUUUUAAAAAAUACUUGGUCAGAAAUCAAAAAGUCAAUAAACAAAAGUGUAGAAAGACGACUUAUAACAUCUCUUUAUCCAUCAAUUUAGGGCUCAGUGUAAACACCGAAACCUGACAGUUAUCCUGAAAGUUAGAAUGCACCAACACUUACAUUCAAUUUGUUAAGGAAACUCAGAUGAAUUCCAAAUCCACUAGACAACAGCGGCAAGGAGAAGGAGAAACACAUGUGCAAAGCAGGUCAUUCUCACUGCAUGCAAAUGAACAAAAUCUAAGGAACUAGACAGGAAAUCCUUAAGUUAGAUGGCGUAUUGAAAACGAACCUUUCAAUAUCAACAAUUUUGAAGGAGACACUGCGAUGCGCAAGGGAGAUUCUUAGCAGAGACUCUAUCGGAGAAUGCAAGACCCUACUUGGACUUCAAGAUUAUACAUGCAGACCAAAAGAUCAAUCAGAUCAGAAUACAGUUUAGAAGUAAAGUAUGUAAAGCAAUAUCUUUUACUUGUUUGAUUUUGAGAAAACUAGAAGAACUUGGAAUGCAUUUGCUUCCUUUGAACUUCUAAGUUGUAAAAUACAUCACGAACAAUUACUGCAAAAAGAGAAACCCUAGAAAUCUCCUUUAAUAGCAGGCAGCAGUUAACUCAAUUAUCAAGUAGGCUUAUACAAAAUCACCUGCUAUACCAACAUCUUGUCUAUAAUCACCAAUUCCAAGGUACAAAACACUUGCCAUCCGGUUAACAAUGGCCAGAUAAGACUUCAAGGACCAGGUUAGUAGUUCUAUACCUAUCCUAGUGUCAACUACUUACUAUAACUCAAAAGAAUUUUACCUUCAAAACCUUACAAUAUCUAUUAGGCCUCCCAUGAGAUUUGGUAACAAUUCCAGAAAAGAAAUAUCAGAAAUAGAGCUCAGAACCAACUAGUCACCACAAGAUAUUCUUGAGAAACACAUCAAAAUAGCUUCAUCAGAUUAACACAAUCAGUAUCAGUGGUGCCAACUAUGAGAGUUAAAUACUGCACAUAACUAUGCUGAAUUGAUUGCAUAUCUACCAUGGAACAAAAAUGAACAAGUGACAUGUUUUUCUUUUUUUUGUGGCGAUUAGUCAAACCAAUCCUAGUGUCAACUACUUACUAUAACUCAAAAGAAUUUUACCUUUAAAACCUUACAAUAUCUAUUAGGCCUCCGAUGAGAUUUGGUAACAAUUCCAGCAAAGAAAUAUGUAGAUAUGGUACAACAAAUUAGGGGCAGGUGAUGACCAGCCCUUUUAACAUAUAGCAUGUCCUUGAAGUCAAUAGGUUCCUAUCCAGUUCAUAGCAGAAUGUCUACAGAAUCAAACAAUGUAAUCAGUUGAAACAAAAUCCAGUAAUCCUAAAAAGUGCAACAGUUCUCAAGUUUGAUCUAGUCCAUGGUCUGCAGUCAAAAACUAACAGAAACCAGAUGCAGUCCUCUGGUUACUUGUGCUCCCACUUCAUCCACUUAUCAAAGAAAUAUAAGAAUUUUGUCACUUCCUCAGAGCCUAUUCUAGCUUUUCCCUAAUCCCCUCGUUCUAAUUAAUGGUAUUUCGUAAAACUUUUGAAACAUUAGUGUAGGUGUUAAAUGUCAAAUGAAUUUUGUUACACCAAAGAAUAGAAAAGAUACUAACUCAGUAACUCCAACAUGAAGGAGUUAAGUUGAUUCAAUCUUCUGACAGAAAGGAUACAUAAAGAAGUACUCAAAUCAAAGUUAGGCUACAAUUUUCCGUUUCUAGACCAUGUAAAGGAAAGGGGCGGUGAGAGGGUUUUAAGUCUACAAUUGAGUGUCUUCAUUCAAAAUACUACAAAUCACAAACUUACUUAUAAUUAAACUACUUUUUUUUUAUAUAUAUACUUGCGCAGUGGGCCUUCAAGAACAAUUUCACGUCUUUUUUCAAUUCCAAUUUUCCAAGAGGGAGCAGGGGAAAUCAGGGAAAAACAAGUUCUUGAACAUCCUUAACAUGCAUUGAAAGGAUGACAACAUAACUUGCUUUUAAAAAAAGCCAACAAAUUCUUGAAAUUUUCUUGAAAAAGCCAACAAAUUCUUGAAAUUUUCUUAAAAGUUUCUUCAAUUCCAACAUGCAAAAUCGAGUUCAUUGGAAGAAUAUCAAGAUAAUGAGUAGAGUACCAAUAGAUAGAUAGAUCAAUUGAUUUAGGGUUAGGGUUUUGAUCAGACAUCGUCACUCGAACCAUCAAGAACACCAACAAGUUCAAUGAACUUUUCUUAAAAAUUAAACGCAAAAUAGAGUUGUUGAAUUCGAAUAUGAAGAAUGCCCAUGAAUCAUGAUAGAUUUCCCGAUGGCCGCCGGUAGCGUAAAAGUUCCGGCGGUCGAAGUAUUGAGUUCUAAAAUGGACACUAGGUUCUCCAUUUUAUAGUUUUAGAACCAGAUAAUACACGCGGCAGAAAAAUAGAACACGGAAAAAUAACUACAAAAUAUAUUACUUUUUUUGUAAACUAUUUUAUUCUAGUAAUUAUUUUUUAUAUUUUUUUGUAAUAGGAAGAAAUUAUUGAUUGAAUGUGAAAUUUGUUCCCUCCUUUCCAUAUUAAAUUAAUAUUUUUAUUUUUUUAAAAUUAAUUUAAUUAUUUAAUUUUCAAGAUAUUUAAAAUAGUUAUUUCAAUUUUAUCUUUUUUAUAUUGAAAGUAGUGGUUAAUUAAUAUUUAAUUAUUUUAAUUAUAAAUUUGAUAAUAAUUAGUACAAUUUACUUCUCCUUUUUCUUAAGAAGAGUAAUUUAAGCGUUUUUUUAAUCGAAAAAAAAAUUACUUUCAUUUAAAAAAAUUUAAAAUAUUUGUCAAAUAUUUAAUUUUUCAAACAAAAAUAUCUUUUUCUAUUAAAAAAAACAUAUUGAGUAUCCCAACAACAAUGUCAAAAAACACUACUAACCCAACUUUUCUUGUUUUCAUUUUUCUGCAAAUAAACUUCAAAAAUAAAUAAAAAUCUUGUCCAAUAAAAGUGUGUAGUAAUUUGUUUAUUGUCCUAAGUGUUUAGAUAAUCAAAAAGAUAUUAAUAAUGUUAUUUCAAAUUUUUUAAAGCGUGUGAAGUCGAUUAUGAGAAACAAUAGUAAAAAAAAGAAAGUUAAAAAAAUGAUACACAUACCAAAUAUCAGCCUAAGUCAAGUAGAAUCCCAUAAUGUUGAGUGUGUGAAACACAGCCAAAGAUAAUCACAAAAUUACAUGCAACACUUUGCAAAUGAACUAAAACGUUCAUAUUCUUUUUAUGUAUUUCUGCAUCAGUAUAAUGUUGUGUUUUUUUUUUUUUUGUAUUUGUCGAGAAAACGUGGAACAACACAAAAAUAUAUAAUGUAAAAGUAAUGGAAAUAAAAUGGAAAAAUAAUAACACUAAGAAUUUUACGUGAAAACCCUUUUAAAUAAGGGAAAAAUCACGGGUCAAAAGGAGCAACUGAUAUUACUAUAGUAAGAAAUUAUAAACUGUGUAGUCACGAAUAUAAUAAUCAAAGUGACUACUAUACACUCAAAAGGAACAACACUAUUUUGGUUUCCACCUUACUAAAAUAUCAAUUACACUCUAUUUUUUCUUCACAGAUUAUUUUUCUUGUAUAGUCUAUGGAAUACCUCACUUUGCUCUCAAAAUGAUUUUUUCUCAAUCACUUGGUGUGUUUUACAACUGAGCAAGAAUGCUAUAUUUAUAGAAGGAGAAAUCAUGUCUAUGUCACUAAUGACAUAGAUAAAUAUAGCAAAGUCAAAAAAGGGUUGCACAUCUUAUCAAUUCGUCAACCAUCAAAUCACAAAAUUUAAAUGUUGAAUAAUACAGAUUGAACAUGAAAGUCUCAUUUCAAAUACAAUUUCAAAGAAUACUCUGCAAAUGAACUAAAACAUUCAUAUUUUUAUGUAUUUCUGCAGCAGUAUAAUGUUAUGUUUUUUUUUGUUGUAUUGAGGUCUUGAGGAUAACGUAGACUUUAGCUCUUGAGAAGCUCCAAUUCCCCUGUUAUAAAAAAAUGAAAUCAUGCAAAGAAAUUUCUGAAUUCUCAAAAAUCAGUUGGCGGUCUGAAGACAGUAGAACAUGAAGUAUCACAUGGUUUUGCCUUCCAACUCAUUGCCAUAAUACUAUUAAUGCAAACUCUCAUGUGUCCACUUAUAUCAAAACUAUAACAAAAAACUAAUCAAUCAUAUAGAAGAUUCAACUGGUAGAGAGGCAAAAAGUUUCUAUUGCAAUGAAUCGAUUACAUUCAAUGAAUGGAAGUAAUAAAUUUCAUUACUUCAAUUUCUUUUGAAGUAAAAAAAUGUACACUAGUCUAGCUAGUGUUUCUUCUAACUCUCAACUGUACACAGUGGAGUUCCUGGCUUACCACAGCUAUACAAAAUUGUGUGACAAAAUAAAAAUGGGGACUAGUUUCCUUCUCACAUCUCAUACUGAUGUGAAUUGAAUAGGAAUUUGUGGGCACCAGCAGAAGACAAUAACACUCAAGUAUCACAUGCUCUUGCCUUCCAAAUAUUGAAAACAUUGUGGUAUUAGUUGAAGAACAAUAGGCCCUACCUUUUCUAAAAACUUGGAAAGAAGCAUUAUUCAUUACAUAAUUUCUAAGAAGUGAUGAGAAGUCAUAAACCUCUUGAUAUGUGAUGAAGAGCCAUUUGGAUUGGGCUGCACAUGGUCAUGCCUUCCAACUAGUUGACAUGAUUGAUUCUUUUAGCAUAUAUAAGUUCAAGUAAAAUAGGUCCUACACAUUUAUUUCCAACAAAGGAUCUCUAAGAAUCAAAUCCAUAAAUAUUACUGCUAGUUUAUAAUGAUUUCUAGGAAUAAAACAUACCCCAGAUGCAAACUUUGUAUCCACUUGUAUAAAAGCUAUACGAGAUAAGAAGUCAAAAAUAAGAAAGAUUUCACUGGUUGACAAUAGCACAUGAAGUAUCACAUUGUCUUGUUCCCCAACUCAUUGUCUAAUAUACAUGAUCUUAGCAAUCAAAUUGGUAAAUUUACUGCUCUUGAAUAGCAGCAGACCCCAGUGUUCUGACAAGAUAGCGAACAGACCAUCUGUAAAGAUCAAAUUGAUAAAUUUACAGCAAUAGCUGACAACUUGUAGGAUAACAUUCCCGAUUAGACUAACCUGUGUUAUUUCAAUAGAUUUUGAAAAGUGUUCUCAAAUAGUAGAUAACAGAAAUAUUUAUGGGCUUUCAACAUGUCUGUGUUUGCAAAUCUCCAUAAAUUUAUGAGUCGAUCAAAACCUUACUAUAUAUUGGCAGAAAUUUGAGUCCAUCCAUAUUCGAGAAAAGUAUAAAUAUGAUAUACACAUUUUUAAGAGUUAAUCAAUUUACAUCCAGUUCUAUUGAAUUCAGUCGAACUCAAUACUUUCACAUUGCUGCAGAAUGGCAGAUCUAGUACAUGUUGAGUUAUACUUCAUUGCAUGAUGGACACUACCAUGUUUAUUUUAACUUCAUUUUGAACCACUAAGUAUAAUUCUUACCAAUGGAAUGAGUUGUGGCACUUUAGAAGACUAGAUUCUGACUAAAAACGAGGAGAGUAGAGCAAAAAAAUUCUAUUGCAAUGAAUUUUUUACAUCGAUGCAUGGAAUAGAAGGAAACCAUGUAAGUAAAAAGUUUCAUUACUUCAAUUUCUUUUGAAGUAGAAAAAUGUGUCCUUAGUCUAACUAGUGUUUCUUCUAACUCUCAACUGUACGCAGUUUCUAUCCUGGCUUACUACAACUAUACAAAAUUGUGUAAUUAAAAAAAUGGGGACUGGUUUCCUUCUCACUUCCGCAAUAUAGAUGUGAGAUUGAUGAACAAAUCUUCGCUGCAGGGAAUAGUCACACCACCCAUUGGAUGGUCGAAGCCAAAUUCUUCCUCAGAUUGACUAAGCAAGUCUUGAAAUAAAGGUUCGCUCAAGAAUGAUAU